UGGCCUACGGGGCGCAGCAGUGAGGAAUAUUGGUCAAUGGCCGAGAGGCUGAACCAGCCAAGUCGCGUGAGGGAAGAAUGUCCUAAGGAUUGUAAACCUCUUUUGUCGGGGAGCAAAAAGGCUCUGCGGAGUCGUAUUGAGAGUACCCGAAGAAAAAGCAUCGGCUAACUACGUGCCAGCAGCCGCGGUAAUACGUAGGUGGCGAGCGUUGUCCGGAAUUACUGGGUGUAAAGGGAGCGUAGGCGGGAGAGCAAGUCGACUGUGAAAUCUAUGGGCUUAACCCAUAGGUGCGAUCGAAACUGUUC
This 305-nucleotide ribosomal RNA is filed under the name uncultured bacterium. RNAcentral's name for it is "bacterial SSU rRNA". It matches the Rfam family "Bacterial small subunit ribosomal RNA", at positions 335 to 638 of the family's 1533-position model. The record is from RNAcentral.